Non-coding RNA from Paramuricea clavata, 206 nucleotides. The record is from the annotation of a GenBank genome assembly. Lineage: Eukaryota; Metazoa; Cnidaria; Anthozoa; Malacalcyonacea; Plexauridae.
GAUACGUCUCAGAAGCGGUCGAGAUCGAUUAGAACGAGCUCCACAACAUUUAUAUCCGCUCGAGCUCAGUUGCGACUCCACCAAUAAAGAGGACGGGGAGGAGACAAACCAAACUCCUUUGGAUGCCAAUGCAAGAUCGUUCGUUCCGAAGCGAAAGGCGGCCAUCGAUGCAGAAACGCGGAUCCAAGAAACUUUAGAAAAUGAAC